Molecule: ribosomal RNA, 497 nt
Filed under: uncultured bacterium
Lineage: Bacteria
Description: partial 16S ribosomal RNA
Rfam family: Bacterial small subunit ribosomal RNA
Source: RNAcentral
GAUGAACGCUGGCGGCGUGCCUAAUACAUGCAAGUCGAGCGAACGGACGAGAAGCUUGCUUCUCUGAUGUUAGCGGCGGACGGGUGAGUAACACGUGGAUAACCUACCUAUAAGACUGGGAUAACUUCGGGAAACCGGAGCUAAUACCGGAUGAUAUUUUGAACCGCAUGGUUCAAAAGUGAAAGACGGUCUUGCUGUCACUUAUAGAUGGAUCCGCGCUGCAUUAGCUAGUUGGUAAGGUAACGGCUUACCAAGGCAACGAUGCAUAGCCGACCUGAGAGGGUGAUCGGCCACACGGGAGCUGAGACACGGUCCAGACUCCUACGGGAGGCAGCAGUAGGGAAUCUUCCGCAAUGGGCGAAAGCCUGACGGAGCAACGCCGCGUGAGUGAUGAAGGUCUUCGGAUCGUAAAACUCUGUUAUUAGGGAAGAACAUAUGUGUAAGGAACUGUGCACAUCUUGACGGUACCGAAUCAGAAAGCCACGGCUAACUACGUG